AUUGAACGCUGGCGGCAGGCCUAACACAUGCAAGUCGAGCGGAUGAAGGGAGCUUGCUCCUGGAUUCAGCGGCGGACGGGAGAGUAAUGCCUAGGAAUCUGCCUGGUAGUGGGGGAUAACGUCCGGAAACUGGCGCUAAUACCGCAUACGUCCUGAGGGAGAAAGUGGGGGAGCUUCGGACCUCACGCAAUCAGAUGAGCCUAGGUCGGAUUAGCUAGUUGGUGGGGUAAAGGCCUACCAAGGCGACGAUCCGUAACUGGUCUGAGAGGAUGAUCAGUCACACUGGAACUGAGACACGGUCCAGACUCCUACGGGAGGCAGCAGUGGGGAAUAUUGGACAAUGGGCGAAAGCCUGAUCCAGCCAUGCCGCGUGUAUGAAGAAGGUCUUCGGAUUGUAAACUACUUUAAGAUGGGAGGAAGGGAAGUAAGUUAAUACCUUGCUGUUUUGACGUUACCAACAGAAUAAGCACCGGCUAACUUCGUG
Molecule: ribosomal RNA, 484 nt
Filed under: uncultured bacterium
Lineage: Bacteria
Description: partial 16S ribosomal RNA
Rfam family: Bacterial small subunit ribosomal RNA
Source: RNAcentral